GUGGGGAAUAUUGGACAAUGGGGGGAACCCUGAUCCAGCCAUGCCGCGUGUGUGAAGAAGGCCUUUUGGUUGUAAAGCACUUUAAGCGAGGAGGAGGCUACCGAGAUUAAUACUCUUGGAUAGUGGACGUUACUCGCAGAAUAAGCACCGGCUAACUCUGUGCCAGCAGCCGCGGUAAUACAGAGGGUGCAAGCGUUAAUCGGAUUUACUGGGCGUAAAGCGCGCGUAGGUGGCCAAUUAAGUCAAAUGUGAAAUCCCCGAGCUUAACGUGGGAAUUGCAUUCGGUACUGGUUGGCUAGAGUAUGGGAGAGGAUGGUAGAAUUCCAGGUGUAGCGGUGAAAUGCGUAGAGAUCUGGAGGAAUACCGAUGGCGAAGGCAGCCAUCUGGCCUAAUACUGACACUGAGGUGCGAAAGCAUGGGGAGCAAACAGGAUUAGAAACCCGAGUAGUCC
RNAcentral lists this ribosomal RNA (451 nucleotides) under uncultured bacterium. Its description in RNAcentral is "partial 16S ribosomal RNA". It matches the Rfam family "Bacterial small subunit ribosomal RNA", at positions 354 to 796 of the family's 1533-position model. The record is from RNAcentral.